Small nuclear RNA from Lynx canadensis (Canada lynx), 107 nucleotides. The record is from Ensembl. NCBI's taxonomy places the organism in Eukaryota, Metazoa, Chordata, Mammalia, Carnivora, Felidae.
GUGCUCACCUGGGCAGCACAUACACUAACACUGGAAUGAUACAGAGAAGGUCAGCAAGGCCCCCCGCCAAGGAUGACACGCAAAUUCGUGAAGCUUCCGUGUUUUAA